GGGUUGUGAGGUUAAGCGACUAAGCGUACACGGUGGAUGCCCUGGCAGUCAGAGGCGAUGAAGGACGUGCUAAUCUGCGAUAAGCGUCGGUAAGGUGAUAUGAACCGUUAUAACCGGCGAUUUCCGAAUGGGGAAACCCAGUGUGAUUCGUCACACUAUCAUUAACUGAAUCCAUAGGUUAAUGAGGCGAACCGGGGGAACUGAAACAUCUAAGUACCCCGAGGAAAAGAAAUCAACCGAGAUUCCCCCAGUAGCGGCGAGCGAACGGGGAGGAGCCCAGAGCCUGAAUCAGUGUGUGUGUUAGUGGAAGCGUCUGGAAAGGCGCGCGAUACAGGGUGACAGCCCCGUACACAAAAAUGCACAUGCUGUGAGCUCGAUGAGUAGGGCGGGACACGUGGUAUCCUGUCUGAAUAUGGGGGGACCAUCCUCCAAGGCUAAAUACUCCUGACUGACCGAUAGUGAACCAGUACCGUGAGGGAAAGGCGAAAAGAACCCCGGCGAGGGGAGUGAAAAAGAACCUGAAACCGUGUACGUACAAGCAGUGGGAGCCUCUUUAUGGGGUGACUGCGUACCUUUUGUAUAAUGGGUCAGCGACUUAUAUUCUGUAGCAAGGUUAACCGAAUAGGGGAGCCGAAGGGAAACCGAGUCUUAACUGGGCGUUAAGUUGCAGGGUAUAGACCCGAAACCCGGUGAUCUAGCCAUGGGCAGGUUGAAGGUUGGGUAACACUAACUGGAGGACCGAACCGACUAAUGUUGAAAAAUUAGCGGAUGACUUGUGGCUGGGGGUGAAAGGCCAAUCAAACCGGGAGAUAGCUGGUUCUCCCCGAAAGCUAUUUAGGUAGCGCCUCGUGAAUUCAUCUCCGGGGGUAGAGCACUGUUUCGGCAAGGGGGUCAUCCCGACUUACCAACCCGAUGCAAACUGCGAAUACCGGAGAAUGUUAUCACGGGAGACACACGGCGGGUGCUAACGUCCGUCGUGAAGAGGGAAACAACCCAGACCGCCAGCUAAGGUCCCAAAGUCAUGGUUAAGUGGGAAACGAUGUGGGAAGGCCCAGACAGCCAGGAUGUUGGCUUAGAAGCAGCCAUCAUUUAAAGAAAGCGUAAUAGCUCACUGGUCGAGUCGGCCUGCGCGGAAGAUGUAACGGGGCUAAACCAUGCACCGAAGCUGCGGCAGCGACGCUUAUGCGUUGUUGGGUAGGGGAGCGUUCUGUAAGCCUGCGAAGGUGUACUGUGAGGUAUGCUGGAGGUAUCAGAAGUGCGAAUGCUGACAUAAGUAACGAUAAAGCGGGUGAAAAGCCCGCUCGCCGGAAGACCAAGGGUUCCUGUCCAACGUUAAUCGGGGCAGGGUGAGUCGACCCCUAAGGCGAGGCCGAAAGGCGUAGUCGAUGGGAAACAGGUUAAUAUUCCUGUACUUGGUGUUACUGCGAAGGGGGGACGGAGAAGGCUAUGUUGGCCGGGCGACGGUUGUCCCGGUUUAAGCGUGUAGGCUGGUUUUCCAGGCAAAUCCGGAAAAUCAAGGCUGAGGCGUGAUGACGAGGCACUACGGUGCUGAAGCAACAAAUGCCCUGCUUCCAGGAAAAGCCUCUAAGCAUCAGGUAACAUCAAAUCGUACCCCAAACCGACACAGGUGGUCAGGUAGAGAAUACCAAGGCGCUUGAGAGAACUCGGGUGAAGGAACUAGGCAAAAUGGUGCCGUAACUUCGGGAGAAGGCACGCUGAUACGUAGGUGAAGUCCCUUGCGGAUGGAGCUGAAAUCAGUCGAAGAUACCAGCUGGCUGCAACUGUUUAUUAAAAACACAGCACUGUGCAAACACGAAAGUGGACGUAUACGGUGUGACGCCUGCCCGGUGCCGGAAGGUUAAUUGAUGGGGUUAGCGGUAACGCGAAGCUCUUGAUCGAAGCCCCGGUAAACGGCGGCCGUAACUAUAACGGUCCUAAGGUAGCGAAAUUCCUUGUCGGGUAAGUUCCGACCUGCACGAAUGGCGUAAUGAUGGCCAGGCUGUCUCCACCCGAGACUCAGUGAAAUUGAACUCGCUGUGAAGAUGCAGUGUACCCGCGGCAAGACGGAAAGACCCCGUGAACCUUUACUAUAGCUUGACACUGAACAUUGAGCCUUGAUGUGUAGGAUAGGUGGGAGGCUUUGAAGUGUGGACGCCAGUCUGCAUGGAGCCGACCUUGAAAUACCACCCUUUAAUGUUUGAUGUUCUAACGUUGGCCCCUAAUCGGGGUUGCGGACAGUGUCUGGUGGGUAGUUUGACUGGGGCGGUCUCCUCCUAAAGAGUAACGGAGGAGCACGAAGGUUGGCUAAUCCUGGUCGGACAUCAGGAGGUUAGUGCAAUGGCAUAAGCCAGCUUGACUGCGAGCGUGACGGCGCGAGCAGGUGCGAAAGCAGGUCAUAGUGAUCCGGUGGUUCUGAAUGGAAGGGCCAUCGCUCAACGGAUAAAAGGUACUCCGGGGAUAACAGGCUGAUACCGCCCAAGAGUUCAUAUCGACGGCGGUGUUUGGCACCUCGAUGUCGGCUCAUCACAUCCUGGGGCUGAAGUAGGUCCCAAGGGUAUGGCUGUUCGCCAUUUAAAGUGGUACGCGAGCUGGGUUUAGAACGUCGUGAGACAGUUCGGUCCCUAUCUGCCGUGGGCGCUGGAGAACUGAGGGGGGCUGCUCCUAGUACGAGAGGACCGGAGUGGACGCAUCACUGGUGUUCGGGUUGUCAUGCCAAUGGCACUGCCCGGUAGCUAAAUGCGGAAGAGAUAAGUGCUGAAAGCAUCUAAGCACGAAACUUGCCCCGAGAUGAGUUCUCCCUGACUCCUUGAGAGUCCUGAAGGAACGUUGAAGACGACGACGUUGAUAGGCCGGGUGUGUAAGCGCAGCGAUGCGUUGAGCUAACCGGUACUAAUGAACCGUGAGGCUUAACCUUACAACGCCGAAG
RNAcentral lists this ribosomal RNA (2926 nucleotides) under Escherichia coli. RNAcentral describes it as "bacterial LSU rRNA". It matches the Rfam family "Bacterial large subunit ribosomal RNA". The record is from RNAcentral. RNAcentral also lists the same sequence under 1 other name. Lineage: Bacteria; Pseudomonadati; Pseudomonadota; Gammaproteobacteria; Enterobacterales; Enterobacteriaceae.